UUGUUUCAGAGAUCAGUGAUGUUCAAGGAUGUUGCAAUUGACUUCUCUCAGGAAGAGUGGGAAUGCCUGGACUCUGCCCAAAGGGAUUUGUAUAGAGAUGUAAUGUUGGAGAACUAUAGCAACUUGGUAUCACUAGGUAAGGGUAUCUGUCCCUUGUAUCUCAGGAUCUAAAUUUUGAAUGGCUGCUUUCUCUGCUAUUAUUUCAAGGCUGCUUUUAAAUAAUUGACCUUUUUUUUUUUUUUUUUGUACUGAGGAUUGAACCUAGGGGCUCUUAACCCCUGAGCCAUAUCCCCAGCCCUUCAUAUAUAUAUUUUUUGACUUGGUCUUGAUAAGUUGCUUAGGACCUAGUUGCUGAGACCUGCUGGAAUUAUAGGUGCGCACCACCAUGACUUACUUAACUAAAUUUUUUACUAUUCAGAAAGGAAUGAUUUGAAAUUGCUGAAAGUAGAAUAGGUUUAUAGCUACCUUUAUCUUCUCCACCCUUCAGAAAGUCUUUAAUGCUGCCUUCUGCUUUAAUGCUUUAAAGUCUUUAAUGCUUCCUUGAUGAUCAAGGGGCUGGAUUUGAAUUCUGGGGUACUUGCAAAUGUUGUCAGAAAAAAAAAAAGGCUAUACAUUUUAUGCUUCAGAUCCACCAAAAGAACUCAGAAAAAUUCACAGGCCUCAGUCACAAAGAUCAAAAAAUAAAUGUAGAAAUAUGUAGUUUUUCUGAACAGAAGAGCUUCUAUUAUUUGUGUAGUGAUAGAGUGGAUCAAUGCAUUUUAGUAACAACUCAAGUAAACAUAAUAUAUUACUCAAACACAUUCUCUUACACAUGCUUAGUAGUUGAGAUGUUUGUGAAAAUUUUGAUUUUUGUGAAAAUUUUAUAUUUCACAUUGAAUGAAUAUGCUAGAAUCAUCUUCUGUUGGAAAAUAGCUUAGGACAAAUCUAUAAUUGUCUAAGAAUUUUUUUUCCUGAAGCAUUAUGAUAAGGAAGAGACCCUAAAUCAGAACUUUUAAUAAGUGAUCUGACCUAGAUUAUCACUUUAUUUAUAGUACUCCUUGUAUCACUGGAAUAUAACUAUCUCUUGCCCUUUCAUUAUUUGUUUAUCUGAAGGCUUUAUAGUUAUUGAUUGUUAUACUACUCGGCAGUGCUCAGGUUGAAUGAGAAAAAACGACCUAUGAUUUGAGAAGAAAAACCAGGGCUUUUCAGUGUGUUCUCCCUAAGGAAUUUCACCUAUUCCCUACUUCUUUUACCUGUUGUUCUCUUAUCAUAAUUUUCCCAAUUUCAAAGGAAAGGAUGGCUCCAGUUCUUCCCCAGUGAUAUAACCCUUUUUUUUUUUCCCUUUUCUAUUCUUUCUAUUUUUCUGGUACUGGAGAUCAACAGGGCCUCAUGUGAUAACCCGUUUAUAUAAACUUGAGAGUUGAUUUCCUUUACAGAAUUUUUUCAAAAAUUUAGACUUAGUAUCAUUGUCUCUACUAUUUCAAAUGUGUGUUCGUUUAUUCCAAAGUAUUUAUUGAAGGCCUAUUCGGUGCCAAGGACAAUAGCAGGCAUUGGGGGAAUAAUGACCUAAACAUGGUUCCUACUCUUCUGGACUCUACAUUCUUGUGGGAGAGAUACAAAAUAAAUAAGGAAACAAAAACAUGUUUAUGUGCAUGCAUAUUUAAUAAAACAAUAGCAGGUAGUGGUAAGCACGUGAAUAAAGUGAAGUAGGGUAAGCAAAUAAUAAUGGGGAAUGUGGUGGCCCUAUUUAGAUACAUAGAUUUUGGAAAAGCCUAUCUGAAGAGUUAAUAUUUGAACAAGACUUAACUAAAUAAGGACAUGAGUAAAACUAGUAUCUAGAUAAACAGGAUCCCAAGUAGGUACAGUAGCAACUGUAAGACCUUGAGGUGGGUAGUAACUUGGUUGUAGGAGGGACAGAAAAACAUUUCUAGAUAAACGUGAUUGUUAAGUAAAGAUAAUUAAGCAAUUUUUAAAAAAAGAGCUGAAAUUUUAUUCUCUAAGGUGGUGCCCUCUGAUUCCUGACCGAAGUAAAUGCAAAUCUUCUCUGGAGAAAAGUAAGAUGCCUUUAGAAUUCUCACAAAUUAAGACCAACAAAAGGUGAGCUCACAAAUAUUAUUAUACUGGAAAGAAGACAGGCCACACAUGAGUGAUAGAUAUCUAAAGAAACAACAGAUUAAGUGGCAAAACUUUUCAUAUUGGAAUUAGAUAUAAGCUAUUGGUUUAAUAUUUAAGGAAACAAAUCAUGAAAAGGACUAGUAAUAAGAGAUAAGGAAGAGGAGGGGGCUGGGGUUGUGGCUCAGCAGUAGAACACUCGCCUACCACGUGCGAGGCACUGGGUUUGAUCCUCAGCACCACAUAAAAAUAAUAUAAAGGUAUUAUGUUCAAGUAUAACUAAGACAACAAAAUAUUAAAAAAGAGAUAAGAAAAAGAUUUGAAAGAGAACCAAAUGAAUAAUUUCUAAAGGUUUUGUUCUUCUUUUAAAUAAUCAUUAAAUGAUUGAUAAAUUUACAUGAAAUUAUCCUCUUAUCAAAAGAUGUCAUAAAUAAAGUAGAAGACAGUCUGGGAUUAUGGCUCAGUGGCAGAGCACUUGCCUAGCACGUAUAAGGGCAUUGUGUUUGAUCCUUAGUACCACAUAAAAAAAUAAAUCAAACAAAAGUAUUGUGUCCAUUUACAACUAAAAAAGAAAGAAAGAAAGAAGACAGACCAGCUAUGAGUUAGAUGAAGAUGCUUAAGAUGCUUACAGACAAGAGUGAAAUUGGUACCCAGAAUAUGAAAGGAUUUUAUAAGAAAAAGUCCACAAAAGAUAUUUAUGGGCAGCUUAAGGAAAUGAGAAAUAGCCAGUAAGCAUAUAAAAAAGUGGAAAUGCAAAUUAAAAUCACAGUGAGUCAAUGUUUCACAUGCUGUACAUUGGCAAAAAUGAAGAAGUCUGACACUGCUAAUCAUCUGCAAUAUUUUGUCGCAUUCCAAGACUAAACAUUCAGGGUCACUCCAGGUGAACAGAGCUGCACAAAAUAAUCACACAGAGACAGAGAAAUACCUUUUUCUUUGGGUCCUGUGCCGGCUCCUCUGACCUUAGGGGUCCAUGGAAAGAGAAAGAAAGCACGCAGCUGAACCCUUCUCCCAAUAGGGGAGAAGCCAUUCAAAUGAGGCAAGAGGUCAGGUUUCAGGGGGUUGAGUCUAGCUUGGUGAUGUCUGCUGUCAGCUGAUUGACUGACAUCUAGAGAGGCCAUGCCCAUCUCAUGAGCUGUGUGGGGAUCCUGGCAGAGCAAGUGAAAAGACCAGAGCAAGGCCCCCCAAACAGAGGGGCAAUGUCGGUUCAGUUCACUUUUGUGCGCUCAGUGCUCAUAAUUCACACACACAGCCUAUGACUGGCUUGCCACAUUUCCACAUUCUCAUCACUUAAGACCAGGGUGCACUCAUUUCCUAUGUGGCAGCUCCUGACAACAUUUGAAGGCAAAAGUACUUCAUUAUUCAUAGUAGCCAAGGAGGAGGAAUAACUCAAGUGUCCAUGAACUAAUGAAUGAUGAAUAAAAUUUGGUAUAUCCUUAGAAUGGAGUAUUAUUUAGCAGUAAAAACAUAAAGUUCUCAUAUAUGCAUCAACUUGGAUGAAUCUUGAAAACAUGCUAAAUGGAAGAAGCCAGACAAAAAUCUACUUAUUAUAUAGUUGCAUUUACAUAAAAUAUCCAUACUAGGUAAACCAUUAGAGAUAUAGUGUAGAUUACUGGUUGCCCACCCUGGGGGGCAGUGAGAUAUGAUGAAAAAUGAGGAGUGGGAGAAUGGUAAGUGACUGCUAAUGGGCAUAGACAAUACUUCUCUUAAGAGUGAUAAAAUGUUUUCAAAAUUACAUCAUUGCGGGGGUGGGGGUGCUGGGGUUAUGGCUCAGCAGUAGAAUGCUUGCCUUGCACAUGCAAGGCUCUGGGUUUGAUCCUCAGGACCACAUAAAAAUAAAUAAAUAAGAAAGAAAGAAAUUUUUUAAAAAUUACAUAAUUGCACAGCUCUGUGAGUAUAAUUUUUAAAAACAGAAUUUUGUAUUUAAAAAAAAUGAACCAUAGGUGUGUAAAUUAUAUCUCGGUAGAACUGUUUGGUACUUAAGUGCUUUAAACUAUACUGAUAUAAUAUCACUUGACGUAACCACUUUGGAAAACAAUUUAAACUUGAAUGCAUUUUAAAAAUAGUUGAAGCCCUCUUAAAAACUCCAGAGCCCAAGCCACACUCUGCCAUGUCAUGUGACUAAAUCAUUCAGGGUCACUCCAGUUGAAUUUGAGUUGGCAUGAAAUAAUCCCACAAAAGCAGAGAAAAUACCUUUUUCUCAGGGUCCAGUGAUGGCUCUCGACCUUAGGGAGUCUAUUGGAAAGAGAGCUUGCACCUGAAUUCUUUAUUUUUAUAGGGGGCACUCAAAGGAAGGUUCCAUAGAAUAUUCUUUCCAAAUAAGUCAAGGGGUCAGGUUUCAGGAGGUUGAGUCUAGCUUUGUGAUGUCUCGUGGUCAGCUGAUUGACAUCUUGGAAGGCCACACCCAUCUCAGGUGCUGUGUGGGAUCAAAGACAGAGGGAGAGGAAAGUGCUCAUGUGUGUUGCAGGGUCCAAAGAGCACGCAACACCAGGUCAGUCUUCCCAUACAGUCAAAUGCUCAUAGUUCACAUACACAGCCCAUGGCUGGCCCGUGCAACAACACUCCAGACCAAUUAAAUCAUAGUCUUUGGUCAUAAGACACAAGUAUCAUUAUAUUUUGAAACUUCCUAGAUUAUUCAACUAUUUAGACAUAUUUGAUAAUUACUGCAGUGUAGCAUUAUCUGAGAAUUUUUUUUUUUAAUUUUAAGGUUCACUCCAUUUAAUUGUUAUUAACCAAUAAACUUAGAUGUAUUUUCUCCAUUUUAUGUUUUUUUUUGUCUUUAAUUUUCUAUGCUUCCUCUUUCAUUCUCUUAAUCAGUAUAGGUACAGUAUUUGUUAUUUGAUUUUUGCAACUCCUUUUUCUCUAUAGUUUGGAAGAUAUGCACUAUUUAUACACUUUUAAAGAUAAUCUUUAAAUUUUUGUCAUGUGCACUUAAUUCCUUCUAGUUAAAGUGAAAUUUUGUAGUUUUAUUAAUUGUAAUAAUAUUUGAAAUUUUACACAUUUAGUGGAUAUUCAAUAUCUUAGUGGAUAUUAGAAUCACUUAAAAAUAUUUUGUUUGCAUGCUGCUUUCACAAGUCUUGUAACAACCACCUGCCCUUCUUCCACUGCUAGGAUUUUAAGAAGAAAAAGUUGAAAACAGAUAAAAAGGAUAGAUAUGCCAUGAAAUAAAUGGGUACCCAUGGAGGCAGUAAGUUGAGGUUUUAUAUAGAGAUGAAAAAUUGACCUUUCUAUGUCAAUUAUAUAUUUCAUUGUUGCAGAAUUUUAAUCAGGAGUCUAAAUGCAGUGUAAAACUGCUUUUUCAAUACAUUUAUGAACACUGCAUACCAUCACUUAAAGAUAUCUUUGUCAGCUGGUAGGCAAGAAAAUGAAAUAGCCAGAUAUAGUGCAACAUGCUUGUAAUCUCAGCCACUCAGAGGACUGAGGCAGGAGGAUCUCCAGUUCAAAGCCAGUCUCAGCAACUUAGCAAGGCCCUGAACAAGACUUUGUCUCCAGAUAAAUAUUGAAAAGGGCUGGAGGUGUAUAAGUGGUUAACUGCCCCUGGGUUAAAUCCAUUGGUACCAAAAAAAAAGAAAGAAAGAAAAUGAAAUAGCAUUUCUGCUAAAUUUAAGUAUUUUAUGGAUAUUUCUG
RNAcentral lists this long non-coding RNA (5715 nucleotides) under Marmota monax (woodchuck). Lineage: Eukaryota; Metazoa; Chordata; Mammalia; Rodentia; Sciuridae. The record is from RNAcentral.